AACGAACGCUGGCGGCAUGCCUAACACAUGCAAGUCGAACGAGACCUUCGGGUCUUGGUGCGCACGGCUGCGUGCCGCGUGGUAACUUGCCCUUAGGUUCGGAAUAACUCCCCGAAAGGGGUCCUAAUACCGCUUAAUGUCUUCCGACCAAAGAGUUAUUGCGUUUGGAUGGGCCCGCGUUGGAUUAGCUAGUUGGUAGGGUAAAAGCCUACCAAGGCGAGGAUCCAUAGCUGGUCUGAGAGGAUGAUCAGCCACACUGGGACUGAGACACGGCCCAGACUCGUACGGGAGGGAGGAGUGGGGAAUAUUGGACAAUGGGGGAAAGCCUGAUCAAGCAAUGCGGGGUGAGUGAGGAAGGCCUUAGGGUUGUAAAGCUCUUUUACCCGGGAUGAGAAUGACAGUACCGGGAGAAUAAGCUCCGGCUAACUACGUG
This 433-nucleotide ribosomal RNA is filed under the name uncultured bacterium. RNAcentral's name for it is "partial 16S ribosomal RNA". It matches the Rfam family "Bacterial small subunit ribosomal RNA", at positions 29 to 507 of the family's 1533-position model. The record is from RNAcentral.